AUUGAACGCUGGCGGCAGGCCUAACACAUGCAAGUCGAGCGGAGCGGCGGACGGGUGAGUAAUGCCUAGGUAUCUGCCUGGUAGUGGGGGAUAACGUCCGGAAACGGGCGCUAAUAUCGCAUACUAUCCGAUGAGCCUAGGUAGGAUUAGCUAGUUGGUGGGGGAAAGGCCUACCAAGGCGACGAUCCGUAACUGGUCUGAGAGGAUGAUCAGUCAAACUGGAACUGAGACCAGGUCCAGAGUCCUACGAUAGGCAGCAGUGGGGAAUAUUGGAAAAUGGGCGAAAGCCUGAGCCAGCCAUGCCGCGUGUGUGAAGAAGGUCUUCGGAUUGUAAAGCACUUUAAGUAGAGAGGCGUUACCAACGGAAUAAGCACCGGCUAACUUCGUGCCAGCCGCCGCGGUAAUAC
RNAcentral lists this ribosomal RNA (407 nucleotides) under uncultured bacterium. RNAcentral describes it as "partial 16S ribosomal RNA". It matches the Rfam family "Bacterial small subunit ribosomal RNA", at positions 30 to 526 of the family's 1533-position model. The record is from RNAcentral.